GGGUUCUUCACCAUGGAUCCCAAGCUCCCGAAGGCCGAAGCUAAGCCCGAGCCAUCAGCUCCAGCUCCUCGAUCCAUGGAUCCGAAGCCCGAGCCUGAAGGCUACAUCUGUGGAGAUUGUGGCGAGGAGACCAAGUUGAAGCCCAAUGAUUCGAUACAGUGCAGGGUUUGCGCUCACACCAUCCUCUACAAGAAGCGCACUCGCAGAAUUAUUGAAUUUCAGGCUCGCUGAUAUCGGGGGAGCUGAAGAGGAAGCUCUACAUGGAAAUGCGUUGAACGAAUCACAUAGUACUUGGUACUAACUUGACAAACUGUUUAGUGUUUAUGUUGUUUAAACAUUUAUGUCCGACUUAAACAUUAAACAAUUUAUGUCCG
This 374-nucleotide unclassified non-coding RNA is filed under the name Hevea brasiliensis (rubber tree). The record is from RNAcentral. Lineage: Eukaryota; Viridiplantae; Streptophyta; Magnoliopsida; Malpighiales; Euphorbiaceae.